This 481-nucleotide ribosomal RNA is filed under the name uncultured bacterium. Its description in RNAcentral is "partial 16S ribosomal RNA". It matches the Rfam family "Bacterial small subunit ribosomal RNA", at positions 28 to 507 of the family's 1533-position model. The record is from RNAcentral.
GACGAACGUUGGCGGCGUGCUUAAUACAUGCAAGUCCACUGAAGCAGUGGUAGCAAUAUCGCUGUGGAGGUGGCGCACGGGUGAGUAACACGUAGGUAAUCUGCCUUCAGGUCUGGCAUAACUCCGGGAAACCGGGGCUAAUAGCAGAUGAUGCAGCGGCUCGACAUCGAGACAGUUGUUAAAGCUAUGGCGCCUGAAGAUGAGCCUGCGUCUGAUUAGCUAGUUGGCGGGGUAACGGCCCACCAAGGCAACGAUCAGUAGCUGGUCUGAGAGGAUGAUCAGCCACACUGGAACUGAGACACGGUCCAGACUCCUACGGGAGGCAGCAGUAAGGAAUAUUGCUCAAUGGGAGAAAUCCUGAAGCAGCAACGCCGCGUGAGGGACGAAGGGCUUUUGCUUGUAAACCUCUGUAGUGAGAGAAAAAAAUCCCAACCUUUGGGACAUGAUGGUAUCUCAAAAGUAAGCCCCGGCUAACUACGUG